Molecule: ribosomal RNA, 391 nt
Filed under: uncultured archaeon
Lineage: Archaea
Description: bacterial SSU rRNA
Rfam family: Archaeal small subunit ribosomal RNA
Source: RNAcentral
UGCAGCAGGCGCGAAACCUUUACACUGCACGACAGUGCGAUAGGGGAACUCCGAGUGCGAGGGCAUAGAGCCCUCGCUUUUCUGUACCGUAAGGUGGUACAGGAAGAAGGGCUGGGCAAGACCGGUGCCAGCCGCCGCGGUAAUACCGGCAGCCCAAGUGAUGGCCGAUAUUAUUGGGCCUAAAGCGUCCGUAGCUGGCCGGACAAGUCCGUUGGGAAAUCCGCACGCUUAACGUGCGGGCGUCCAGCGGAAACUGUCCGGCUUGGGACCGGAAGACCCGAGGGGUACGUCCGGGGUAGGAGUGAAAUCCUGUAAUCUCGAACGGACCACCUGUGGCGAAAGCGCCUCGGGAAGACGGAUCCGACAGUUAGGGAUCAAAUCCCCCGGCUCG